This 69-nucleotide transfer RNA is filed under the name Ictidomys tridecemlineatus (thirteen-lined ground squirrel). Its description in RNAcentral is "Spermophilus tridecemlineatus (thirteen-lined ground squirrel) tRNA". It matches the Rfam family "tRNA". Rfam says of the family: Transfer RNA (tRNA) molecules are approximately 80 nucleotides in length. Their secondary structure includes four short double-helical elements and three loops (D, anti-codon, and T loops). Lineage: Eukaryota; Metazoa; Chordata; Mammalia; Rodentia; Sciuridae. The record is from Rfam by way of RNAcentral.
GGCGUUGUAGCUCAAUGGUAGAGUGCUCACCUAGCACAUGUGAGGUACUGAGUUCGAUCCUCAGCACCA